UGUUGCAGUUAAAAAGCUCGUAGUCGAACCUUGGGUCUGGCUGGCCGGUCCGCCUCACCGCGAGUACUGGUCCGGCUGGACCUUUCCUUCUGGGGAAUCCCAUGGCCUUCACUGGCUGUGGGGGGAACCAGGACUUUUACUGUGAAAAAAUUAGAGUGUUCAAAGCAGGCCUUUGCUCGAAUACAUUAGCAUGGAAUAAUAGAAUAGGACGUGCGGUUCUAUUUUGUUGGUUUCUAGGACCGCCGUAAUGAUUAAUAGGGAUAGUCGGGGGCGUCAGUAUUCAGCUGUCAGAGGUGAAAUUCUUGGAUUUGCUGAAGACUAACUACUGCGAAAGCAUUCGCCAAGGAUGUUUUCAUUAAUCAGGGAACGAAAGUUAGGGGAUCGAAGACGAUCAGAUACCGUCGUAGUCUUAACCAUAAACUAUGCCGACUAGGGAUCGGGCGGUGUUUCUAUGAUGACCCGCUCGGCACCUUACGAGAAAUCCAAAG
RNAcentral lists this ribosomal RNA (488 nucleotides) under Trichocomaceae sp. RNAcentral's name for it is "SSU rRNA". It matches the Rfam family "Eukaryotic small subunit ribosomal RNA", at positions 611 to 1103 of the family's 1831-position model. The record is from RNAcentral. Lineage: Eukaryota; Fungi; Ascomycota; Eurotiomycetes; Eurotiales; Trichocomaceae.